RNAcentral lists this ribosomal RNA (757 nucleotides) under uncultured bacterium. Its description in RNAcentral is "bacterial SSU rRNA". It matches the Rfam family "Bacterial small subunit ribosomal RNA", at positions 8 to 796 of the family's 1533-position model. The record is from RNAcentral.
AGAGUUUGAUCAUGGCUCAGAAUCAACGCUGGCGGCGCGCUUAACACAUGCAAGUCGAACGAGAAAGCGGGAGCAAUCUCGCAAGUACAGUGGCGUACGGGUGAGUAACACGUGGGUAAUCUACCCUUUAGUGUGGAAUAACGCUGGGAAACCGGCGCUAAUACCGCAUAAUCCCGAGAGGGGAAAGCAGCAAUGCGCUGAAGGAGGAGCCCGCGGCCGAUUAGCCAGUUGGCAGGGUAAAAGCCUACCAAAGCAGAGAUCGGUAGCCGGCCUGAGAGGGCACACGGCCACACUGGCACUGAAACACGGGCCAGACUCCUACGGGAGGCAGCAGUGGGGAAUCUUGCACAAUGGGGGCAACCCUGAUGCAGCGACGCCGCGUGAGCGAUGAAGCCUUCGGGGUGUAAAGCUCUUUCGGCAGGGACGAUGAUGACGGUACCUGCAGAAGCAGCUGCGGCUAACUACGUGCCAGCAGCCGCGGUAAUACGUAGGCAGCGAGCGUUGUUCGGAGUUACUGGGCGUAAAGGGUGUGUAGGCGGUUCUCUAAGUUUGGUGUGAAAUCUCCCGGCUCAACCGGGAGGGUGCGCCGAAAACUGGAGGGCUAGAGUGCGGGAUGGGAGAGUAGAAUUCCUGGUGUAGCGGUGAAAUGCGUAGAUAUCAGGAGGAAUACCGGUGGUGUAGACGGCUCUCUGGACCGCGACUGACGCUGAGACACGAAAGCGUGGGUAGCAAACAGGAUUAGAUACCCUAGUAGUCC